RNAcentral lists this transfer RNA (73 nucleotides) under Nanobdellota archaeon. RNAcentral describes it as "tRNA-Trp". It matches the Rfam family "tRNA". Rfam says of the family: Transfer RNA (tRNA) molecules are approximately 80 nucleotides in length. Their secondary structure includes four short double-helical elements and three loops (D, anti-codon, and T loops). The record is from RNAcentral. Lineage: Archaea; Nanobdellati; Nanobdellota.
GGGACUGUACUUUAACCCGGUAGAAUGGGAGCCUCCAGAGCUCUCGAUCCAGGUUCAAAUCCUGGCAGUCCCA